This 428-nucleotide ribosomal RNA is filed under the name Anaplasma phagocytophilum. RNAcentral describes it as "bacterial SSU rRNA". It matches the Rfam family "Bacterial small subunit ribosomal RNA", at positions 29 to 482 of the family's 1533-position model. The record is from RNAcentral. Lineage: Bacteria; Pseudomonadati; Pseudomonadota; Alphaproteobacteria; Rickettsiales; Anaplasmataceae.
AACGAACGCUGGCGGCAAGCUUAACACAUGCAAGUCGAACGGAUUAUUCUUUAUAGCUUGCUAUGGAGGAUAAUUAGUGGCAGACGGGUGAGUAAUGCAUAGGAAUCUACCUAGUAGUAUGGGAUAGCCACUAGAAAUGGUGGGUAAUACUGUAUAAUCCCUGUGGGGGAAAGAUUUAUCGCUAUUAGAUGAGCCUAUGUUAGAUUAGCUAGUUGGUAGGGUAAAGGCCUACCAAGGCGAUGAUCUAUAGCUGGUCUGAGAGGAUGAUCAGCCACACUGGAACUGAGAUACGGUCCAGACUCCUACGGGAGGCAGCAGUGGGGAAUAUUGGACAAUGGGCGCAAGCCUGAUCCAGCUAUGCCGCGUGAGUGAGGAAGGCCUUAGGGUUGUAAAACUCUUUCAGUAGGGAAGAUAAUGACGGUACCUAC